Molecule: RNA transcript, 2563 nt
Organism: Tupaia belangeri chinensis (Chinese tree shrew)
Lineage: Eukaryota; Metazoa; Chordata; Mammalia; Scandentia; Tupaiidae
Gene: CTSC
Gene name: cathepsin C
Exons: 5
Source: RefSeq, a predicted model, not a curated record
CUCCCUCAGCCCGGGUUUCCGGGCCUCCUGGCUAUUUGAAGGCGGGCGAGACCCUGGGUCAUCUCCCUGGCCUCUAGUUCCUGCUUGUCUUCCUCGCCUGUCCCCGGUCCGGCCAGCAUGUGUCCCUGGCCCCGCUCGCUGCUUGCCACCCUCCUGCUGGUCCUCGCCGGCGUCCUCACCGUGCGCAGCGACACACCUGCCAACUGCACCUAUCCUGAGCUGCUGGGCACCUGGGUCUUCCAAGUGGGUGCCAGCGGGUCCCAGCGCAUCAACUGCUCGGUUAUGGGACCACCAGAAAAAAAAGUAGUGGUGCACCUUCAGAAGAUGGAUACGGCAUUUGAUGACUUUGGCAAUUCUGGUCAUUUCACUAUCAUUUACAACCAAGGCUUUGAGGUUAUAUUGAAUGACUACAAGUGGUUUGCCUUUUUCAAGGAUGUCACUGAUUUUGUCAGUCAGUUGUUCAUGCAGCUGGGAACUGUGGGGAUAUAUGAUUUGCCACAUCUGAGGAACAAACUGGAGAGAGGGAGACUGGCAAGAUUAUGGUUUUCUUAAAGACUUCUUGCUUGAGCCUGCUUAUCUGCUGUUUCUCACUUGCCUGCAUCAUUUUAUGGGAGUGAUUUUCCACUUUAGUGUCUGCAUGCGUCAAGUUAGCUGUACCAUGAAUGACAGUCGUAACGGUCUACAUAUUUAUUUUUUCUAUAAGUGAGAGAGAGAUGAGAGACAGUAUCCCAAUAGGGUCUGGAUGCCUCUGUCCACCCCCUUCCAACCUGGCAUACUCAAGAAGAGCUACAGAUGCAAACCCAGAACCUUCUCAUGUGGUAGGUCAGCCUUGCAGAGGCAUCACUUAGCUGUGCCACCUGUUAGCCCCUUUUACUCAUCGUUGUAAAACUUGCCUCUACCCAAAACAGAAUAUUGACUAGAAAGAAGAGGCUCUUUUUCACUCUUCAUUCCUUUCACUUUCAGAUUAUUGAAUGUAAUGUUUAAAUCAUCAUUUGCACUAAAUACAUUUGGUUGUCUAAAACCUAAUGUAAAAAUGAGUCAUUAGAGGGUAAAGUUGAAGGCCAGCCCCAUAACCUGGUGGUUAAGGGAGGUUGAUCCCACAUGGCUGACUAGGGUUUGAAUCCUAGCCCUGGUGGUUCACUAUAUUUUCCCCACCAAAAAAUUGAGGUACUUUCAGAAUGCAGUUCAUGAAAUUCUGUCCUAAGCCUUGUUACUCUUCCUCUUUCUUAGGGAGACAACCUCCCCACCCCCAAGUAGAAGAGGUAGUAGACUGAUACCUGUUGUGCACGUGGGAACUAACCUAGUACUUAGACAUACAGGAUCCCAGAAGCACUAAGCCUGCAUUGAGAAUUAGUAAGGGGUAUAAAUUAAUGCACCUGCAUUGCUAGAAUUUAGCCUGUUCCUUAAGAACAUGUCAGUUACAUCAGGUUUAUACCAUCAGUUACUCUGAGAUGCAUGUGCUUGGUAAGCAUGUUGGCUGUGCGCAUGUCGCUUUAACGUUCAGCUUGAGAAUGGCGGCUUUUGGGGAAUGUCUUAAGAAGCAUUAAAAAUACCAGGAUCUCAAAUAUUAGUGGUAUUUUUUUUUUUUUAAGAAAAAUGAAUAUGAUCGAGUAGUAUUAAAAGACAGCAUGAUCCUUGCUGGCUUAUAACCCUAGUUUUUAUUGUCUUGUAGUUAUUACAUAGAGCAUCCUUUGAGAGGCUCUUGUAAAACCACAGCCAAGAACACGCUGGGGCUAAGAGGCAGAGGAGCCUGCAGCAGUGGACCUGCCUCUAGCAGCUAGCAGAGGCCUCUGGCAGCUCUUAGUCCCUUCUGGAGUCUAUUUGCAUGUAGAAUGCAGAGGAGUCCUGGUGACCUACCUCCAAGGCGGCUGUGCUCCUGAUCAUUUCCUUGGAAAGCAGCUAACCGCCCUUUUGGAAUGUGACAGAGACUACACGAGACAGAGGAAAAGAUACCUGGAAGAGAUGAAGUCUGGGGUGGCUUCAGUCUUCAACUUUUUAAUACAAGGAACACAUGUAACCCAUUAACUCUUUUUUUGUUUUUCAUUUUUGAAUACACUUCAAAAAUUGAAUGAUUUUUCCAAACUGAUCAAGAUUAGAUCUUUGGAUGUUGUUAUAGUCACAGUUUAAUUUCUCUCCCUGGGUGCGUUCCUGGUCUCUAAUUAUCUUGAGUAACCCCAGAGCCUAUGGUAAGAGAAAGUAAAGCUUCAGGAUCUCUCGAGAUGCACAGAUAUAAGUUAGGGGAAGUAAGAUGAUCUGGUGGAGGGCCUGUCUCAGAUAAGCCAGACUGCCAGAGAGAUCUUUUCGCAGUAUGUCUGGCCAGAAAGAUGGUCUAGUUAAUGAGUGUUGAUUUUUUUCUAAGUAGGCUCCAGCUUUGUGCUAGUAAAAUUUUGCAUUACAAAAACCCUGUAGAUAUUACUAGUGUCCUUUCAUAAUAGAGAAAAUUAGUCCCUUAGGUGUUUAAGCUUACUCAGUAUCUAACUUUAAAAUGACCAGACCAAGUCUUUAAAGCCUUGAGGACUUCCUUAGGGCUAAAGAAUCAAAGAAAAAGAAAGAAUAAAUUCCA